AGAGUUUGAUCAUGGCUCAGAACGAACGCUGGCGGCGUGGAUAAGACAUGCAAGUCGAACGCCCAUUUUAGGGUAGCAAUAUUCUGAAGUGGGAGUGGCGUAAGGGUGCGUAACAUGUGGGUAAUCUGCCGUGAAGUUUGGGAUAACUCGCUGAAAGGCGAGCUAAUACCGGAUGUGACUGCUAGGAGGCAUCUUCUGGCUUUCAAAGUUGGGGACCGUAAGGCCUGACGCUUCAUGAUGAGCCCGCAACCUAUCAGCUAGUUGGUGAGGUAACGGCUUACCAAGGCUAAGACGGGUAGCUGGUCUGAGAGGACGACCAGCCACACUGGAACUGAGACACGGUCCAGACACCUACGGGUGGCAGCAGUCGAGAAUUUUUCACAAUGGGCGAAAGCCUGAUGGAGCGACGCCGCGUGGGGGAUGAAGGGCUUCGGUCCGUAAACCCCUGUCAUUUGUGAACAAAGCUUACGACCUAAUACGUCGUGAGUUGAUAGUAGCGAAAGAGGAAGGGACGGCUAACUCUGUGCCAGCAGCCGCGGUAAUACAGAGGUCCCGAGCGUUGUUCGGAUUUACUGGGCAAAGGGUGCGUAGGUGGUGAGGUAAGUCUGAUGUGAAAUCUCCGAGCUUAACUCGGAAAUGGCAUUGGAAACUACCUUGCUAGAGGGUUGGAGGGGGGACUGGAAUACUUGGUGUAGCAGUGAAAUGCGUAGAUAUCAAGUGGAACACCAGUGGCGAAGGCGAGUCCCUGGACAACUCCUGACACUGAGGCACGAAAGCUAGGGGAGCAAACAGGAUUAGAUACCCUAGUAGUCC
This 813-nucleotide ribosomal RNA is filed under the name uncultured bacterium. RNAcentral's name for it is "bacterial SSU rRNA". It matches the Rfam family "Bacterial small subunit ribosomal RNA", at positions 8 to 796 of the family's 1533-position model. The record is from RNAcentral.